GUGCUUGCUUCGGCAGCACAUAUACUAAAAUUGAAAUGAUACAGAGAAGAUUAGCAUGACAUGCAAAUUUGUGAAGCAUCCCAUUUUUAA
RNAcentral lists this small nuclear RNA (90 nucleotides) under Chinchilla lanigera (long-tailed chinchilla). Lineage: Eukaryota; Metazoa; Chordata; Mammalia; Rodentia; Chinchillidae. The record is from RNAcentral.